CUGUUUAUCAAAAACAUAGCUAUAGGUUAACUUUCUGUAGUGAUUUCUGCUCCAUGUUAAAAUAAAUAGCCGCAGUACCCUGACUGUGCUAAGGUAGCAUAAUCAAUAGGCUUAUAAUUUAAGUCUGGAAUGAAUGAAAAUUUGGGGGGGGACUGUCUCGUCUGAAUUAUUUGAAUUUUUUUAAAAAGUGCAAAAACUUUUAUGGAAAUAUUAGACGAGAAGACCCUAGAAAUUUUUUAAAUUAUUUUGUUGGGGCGACAAAGUAACAAUUAACUUACUUAUGUAUAUUAGAAGUGUUUAUACAGCAUAUAUAAAUUACUCUAGGGAUAACAGCAUAAUUUCAACAAGCUUGUGACCUCGAUGUUGGACUAGGUAUUCUUAGGUUUAGAAGAUUUAAGUUUUAAGCUCUGUUCGAGCGAUAUUACCUACCUGAUCUGGAUUCAGACCGGA
RNAcentral lists this ribosomal RNA (450 nucleotides) under Praticolella sp. 7 KEP-2005. RNAcentral's name for it is "partial 16S ribosomal RNA". It matches the Rfam family "Archaeal large subunit ribosomal RNA", at positions 1892 to 2689 of the family's 2987-position model. Lineage: Eukaryota; Metazoa; Mollusca; Gastropoda; Stylommatophora; Polygyridae. The record is from RNAcentral.